RNAcentral lists this ribosomal RNA (478 nucleotides) under uncultured bacterium. Its description in RNAcentral is "partial 16S ribosomal RNA". It matches the Rfam family "Bacterial small subunit ribosomal RNA", at positions 28 to 507 of the family's 1533-position model. The record is from RNAcentral.
GACGAACGCUGGCGGCGUGCUUAACACAUGCAAGUCGAACGGGAUUUAGUAAACAGCAGCCUCGGUGGAAGAUUACUAAUGAGAGUGGCGAACGGGUGAGUAACGCGUGAGCAACCUGCCUAUGACAGUGGGAUAGCCUCGGGAAACCGGGAUUAAUACCGCAUAAAAUCGUAGAAACACAUGUUUUAACGGUCAAAGAUUUAUCGGUCAUAGAUGGGCUCGCGUCUGAUUAGCUAGUUGGUGAGAUAACAGCCCACCAAGGCGACGAUCAGUAGCCGGUCUGAGAGGAUGAACGGCCACAUUGGAACUGAGACACGGUCCAAACUCCUACGGGAGGCAGCAGUGGGGAAUAUUGCACAAUGGGGGAAACCCUGAUGCAGCGACGCCGCGUGAACGAAGAAGGUAUUCGUAUCGUAAAGUUCUGUCCUAUGGGAAGAUAAUGACAGUACCAUAGAAGAAAGCUCCGGCUAAAUACGUG